Suricata suricatta (meerkat) is the source of this 513-nucleotide long non-coding RNA. RefSeq lists it as uncharacterized. The transcript is spliced from 2 exons. NCBI's taxonomy places the organism in Eukaryota, Metazoa, Chordata, Mammalia, Carnivora, Herpestidae. The record is from RefSeq and is a predicted model, not a curated record.
AAGGCGGAAAGAUGGGUCAGAUCAUCCUGGCCGGCUCCCUAGUCUGUAAGAUUACCUGCCACCCGUGUUUCUAAAGUCCAUUUUAAGGGCAGUACAGAAUCGCCUCCUAGGACUAUAUCUAUUCACGGAUGAAUUUCUCAGAUAAAGCAAAUGCACACAGUGAACCCCAACCUGGGAAUCUUCUCUCAUUAAGAGAAAAUCGAUAUCCAUGUCUUCCUUGUGAUUUAUGUGCAUAAACGAUGGCUUAUAUGAAUCACUCCUAAAUGGUUAACUACGCAAGCAGACUGUUCAUCUAGUUCUCCGUGAGAGUCGCUCCUUAUGUUCGCCAGGCUGCCUCCCUCCUUGCUCAAAUCCCAUGUUUCCAGAAAGCCCUCGCUGACAGCUACAAUGAAGACUUUUAACAGCCCUUAUUCAACCUGAUCCCUGUCCCUUUCCCCGGGCUCACCCGUGACCUGCUCUCACUAUCUGACGCUGCAGUCACAAUGAAAUAAAGUAAGGACAGCAAUCACAUAA